GUGCGAAAACUUUACAAUGCUGGCAACAGCGAUAAGGGAACCUCGAGUGCCAGGUUACAAAUCUGGCUGUCGAGAUGCCUAAAAAGCAUUUCAUAGCAAGGGCCGGGCAAGACCGGUGCCAGCCGCCGCGGUAACACCGGCGGCUCGAGUGGUAACCGUUAUUAUUGGGUCUAAAGGGUCUGUAGCCGGCCGGAUAAGUCUCUUGAGAAAUCUGGCAGCUUAACUGUCAGGCUUUCAGGAGAUACUGUCUGGCUCGAGGCCGGGGGAGGUGAGAGGUACUUCAGGGGUAGGGGUGAAAUCUUGUAAUCCUUGAAGGACCACCAGUGGCGAAGGCGUCUCACCAGAACGGACCUGACGGCAAGGGACGAAAGCUAGGGGCACGAACC
This 386-nucleotide ribosomal RNA is filed under the name uncultured prokaryote. Its description in RNAcentral is "bacterial SSU rRNA". It matches the Rfam family "Archaeal small subunit ribosomal RNA", at positions 339 to 725 of the family's 1478-position model. The record is from RNAcentral.